Molecule: ribosomal RNA, 195 nt
Filed under: Triticum aestivum (bread wheat)
Lineage: Eukaryota; Viridiplantae; Streptophyta; Magnoliopsida; Poales; Poaceae
Description: partial small subunit ribosomal RNA
Source: RNAcentral
AUGUGCGUGCCUACGAGCCAUGGAGGUAUGGGGUUCAGAGAUGUACACUGCUUUAACUUGGCUCUUCUAGCUAAACAGUGUUGGAGAUUGCUAGCAGAACCAGAAUCUUUAUGUGCUAGAGUGUUGAGAGCAAAAUAUUUCCCGAAUGGUGAUUUACUAAAUUGUACCCUCAAGAAAGGAAGCUCAUAUACUUAG